This 601-nucleotide ribosomal RNA is filed under the name uncultured Cupriavidus sp. RNAcentral's name for it is "bacterial SSU rRNA". It matches the Rfam family "Bacterial small subunit ribosomal RNA", at positions 45 to 641 of the family's 1533-position model. Lineage: Bacteria; Pseudomonadati; Pseudomonadota; Betaproteobacteria; Burkholderiales; Burkholderiaceae. The record is from RNAcentral.
UGCCUUACACAUGCAAGUCGAACGGCAGCGCGGGCUUCGGCCUGGCGGCGAGUGGCGAACGGGUGAGUAAUACAUCGGAACGUGCCCUGUCGUGGGGGAUAACUAGUCGAAAGAUUAGCUAAUACCGCAUACGACCUGAGGGUGAAAGCGGGGGACCGCAAGGCCUCGUGCGAUAGGAGCGGCCGAUGUCUGAUUAGCUAGUUGGUGGGGUAAAGGCCUACCAAGGCGACGAUCAGUAGCUGGUCUGAGAGGACGAUCAGCCACACUGGGACUGAGACACGGCCCAGACUCCUACGGGAGGCAGCAGUGGGGAAUUUUGGACAAUGGGGGCAACCCUGAUCCAGCAAUGCCGCGUGUGUGAAGAAGGCCUUCGGGUUGUAAAGCACUUUUGUCCGGAAAGAAAUGGCCCUGGCUAAUACCCGGGGUCGAUGACGGUACCGGAAGAAUAAGCACCGGCUAACUACGUGCCAGCAGCCGCGGUAAUACGUAGGGUGCGAGCGNUUAUCGGAAUUACUGGGCGUAAAGCGCGCGUAGGUGGUUUGGUAAGAUGGAUGUGAAAUCCCCGGGCUCACCCUGGGAACUGCAUCCAUAACUGCCUGAC